Molecule: non-coding RNA, 238 nt
Organism: Orientia tsutsugamushi
Lineage: Bacteria; Pseudomonadati; Pseudomonadota; Alphaproteobacteria; Rickettsiales; Rickettsiaceae
Source: Rfam
AAAGUGCAGUUAUAGAUGGAGAAGCUAGCUCCACCAUAUAGCGCAAGUCUUGUGCUGCUGAAGGUAACGACAGUAGUAAAGCGUAGACAGCGAAACAUUCAAGCUGAAACCAAAUGGUGAACGUGAUAUCCACAAAGGUGUGAUGUAGUAAAGGCCGAUAUGCUCUACUACAUAUUAAACAAAAGAAGAUUGGAGGUCAAGCUAGCGAAAAUCCAAAAGUUUUCAACUGCCGAGGACA